UUAUAGCCAAGUUUGCAGACAAUCUACAUCUAACAUGAAUGCAUGCUUGUGUUCAUUCCUGACUCCCACAUCACAGUUUUCACUGCCGAAACUGAGGCUCCAGGGUUGGGCCCAGGAAUCUGCUUUGUGUACAGAGUACGUGAGCUAAUACGGAUAUGCUGCUAAUGCAGGAACCUGGAACUUCCUGGUUAGAAAAGCUCAAUUUGUUCAUCAUUUCUGCCCAGCCAUAGUGAGAUUUCUUUAUCAAUUGCCAAUAGAAGCAGGCAUGAGGGCAAAUGUGAAAUAAAAGCAGCCCUCUGCUGCUAUGUAAAAUCUGCUAUGUAAAAUCUUUUCAUGUUUGAAAGCACUUUGAAGUGAUAUCUUCUCAGCUUUCUUUAACUGGAUGGAGCAUUCAAAAAGGGCUUUCAGAAAAUGUAUCCCCAUCCCAGGGUUGUUCUGUCCUUUGCUUAAGAAACAAUCUUCCAAGCUGUUAGUUAAACUGAUCAUUAGCCAGCCACGAGUUAAAACAAAAGGCAGCUUCAGCUCAUCUUUAGUAUGGCUACUAAAAUCUCGAGGUGUUGGUGGUCGGUAUCAUCUUUUGAAAAAAGAUAAAUAUUUUGCCUCUGAUAUCUAAUGAUUACAGAAUAAGAUAUAAUUUCAGAAGUUAUAGCAUGUUACCAGUCAGUUUCCUAGGGACACAGAACCGAAAUGGACCAAACUGACAUUUGUCUGUGGCACUAAGCCUUUUUGUCUGGCACUGGUCUAGGGGUAGAGGAGCCAGUGGGACAAACCAAGGUUUCCCGUGCACUUACAUUCACUCUGGGGAGACAGACAAUAAAGAAGGAGUCAUCUUUGAUAUUUCUAAUCUAUAAACUGGCACGUUCCAAGUUACAAAAAAAAUGAUUAAAAUGGUUUAUUCAGAAUAUACCAUAGUGAGUUUCACAACACUGGGAACUGAAACAUUAGGAAACAAUCCACUUAAUCAUGGCCACUUACGCCCACUUUCCCAUGAGAGUUGCUGUCUACGGUUAUAAUUGAUUUCUUCUCCCCAGAGGCACAAUCCUGUCCCCAUGUCAUUUUUUACCUUAUUUCACAGUCCUGCCUUCUGUACUGAUGCUCAGAAAAAGCAGCAAAUUAGGAGAUUAGUUUUUCUCUUCCCUUUUACGUUUUCUAACUCAGGCAGCGAAACCAGUCUGAACUGGAUGAAGUAUUAAAUCCCUUCUCUGGAGUUUACCCAGAAACUAGGGAUACUCAGCUUGCAAGACUGCAAACUGAUACCUGCAUGUACCAGCCAAAAUGACAUCCUAUUUGUUAUUUUCUUCACGGUGCUACUCAUGUUUAGAAUUGUAAUAUUAGUCUAGGAGGAAAUACUGCUGUAAGAUUUUCACUUUUGUUUUUAGAAGAACAUGUAGUUUGUGUUUGAUGGAGUCUUUGGUACUUUGAUGUUUAGAGGAUGAUAAGCAAAUAGAAAGCAAAGAUUAAAAAUGAAAAAAAUACCUGUUUUUAGUAGCUACAUAUUUCAUAUCUAUUUUCCUUUCAUAGGCUGACAUCAUUUCAUGGAAAACUACUUUUUUUUUUCCUUUUUCAAGAAUAUAUCCACAGCAUAGAAGAUGGUAUGAAUGGGGUCAGAAUUUGGCAGCUCCUGAACGGAAGAAUAGAUGGGAAAGGUUUCGUUUAUCACCACGUUCGGUCUGCAAUGGUUGGAAGCCCAAGACAGGGAAGGAUUUUCCAUCUCACCAUGCUGCACAUAUGGCAACUGGAAUCCCGUACAGUGGCGGCCACACAGCUGUGUUUCUGUAGAGUUUUACAAGAUGUAUUGGUUCCUCUCAAUUGAGGACAGUUUAUUUUGGUGUCAUUAUGGAACCUGAGGAGAUCAUCCUUAGGGCCAAUAAAUCCAAGGGCCUGUCACCAUGUCUAUUUUGAUCAGAUGAUCCACCUAUCUCUCCCAGGCGGACAGCCAGUCUGGCAUGUGUUUCUUCUCUUCAGUUUCUGUGAAGGUACUUAAUGAACAAGGCACCUUUGGCUGUGUAACUGUUACCAAACCAACUGUAAUUAAAAUGUCCUCUCUGUGUCA
This is a non-coding RNA of Cricetulus griseus (Chinese hamster), 2053 nucleotides long. Lineage: Eukaryota; Metazoa; Chordata; Mammalia; Rodentia; Cricetidae. The record is from RefSeq and is a predicted model, not a curated record.